This 516-nucleotide long non-coding RNA is filed under the name Mus musculus (house mouse). Its description in RNAcentral is "RIKEN cDNA 4930441J16 gene (4930441J16Rik)". Lineage: Eukaryota; Metazoa; Chordata; Mammalia; Rodentia; Muridae. The record is from RNAcentral.
GUCGGGGGAUACAAUCCUCUGAAACUGGUACUCACUCUGGAAGUGUCAAGCCUGUGAGAUUGCUCAGUGGGUAAAGGUGCGUGCUACCAACCCUGAGGAUCAGAGUCGGAUCUCCAAGGCUCACAUGGUACGGUGAAAUGAGAGACAACCCUGGACAAGGAACAGUAGGACAGUCACAGUGCCUAAGCCAAAGGGCUAUGUAAGUGGAGACUCAGAGUGAAGACACUGGAGAGACCCUGACAUCCUUAUUCUGACUCUUCCCUGGGUACUCCUGACAGCAGAGUGGUUAAGAAAAGUCUUGAAGCAAGCAGUUCAGUGGCUGGACCGCCACCUACUGGUCAUUGUUAGCCACAACUGAGCCGUAGCUUAGGAAAAGAAGCUUUUUUCCUUAGGUGAGUCCAUUCAAUAAUGACAUUAAACCAAAGCCAAAGAAAAAUAACUUUACCUAAAAAUACGGAUGAAGAACCGAACCAAAUAAAAUUAAGCUGAUCUCUUAAUAAAUGUCUGUUUAUUGUU